This 440-nucleotide ribosomal RNA is filed under the name uncultured bacterium. Its description in RNAcentral is "partial 16S ribosomal RNA". It matches the Rfam family "Bacterial small subunit ribosomal RNA", at positions 338 to 795 of the family's 1533-position model. The record is from RNAcentral.
CCUACGGGGGGCUGCAGUGGGGAAUAUUGGACAAUGGGCGAAAGCCUGAUCCAGCCAUGCCGCGUGAGUGACGAAGGCCUUAGGGUUGUAAAGCUCUUUUGGCGGGGAAGAUAAUGACGGUACCCGCAGAAUAAGCUCCGGCUAACUUCGUGCCAGCCGCCGCGGUAAUACGAAGGGAGCUAGCGUUGUUCGGAAUCACUGGGCGUAAAGCGCACGUAGGUGGAUCGUUAAGUCAGGGGUGAAAGCCCGAGGCUCAACCUCGGAAUUGCCUCUGAUACUGGCGGUCUAGAGUUCGAGAGAGGUGAGUGGAAUUCCUAGUGUAGAGGUGAAAUUCGUAGAUAUUAAGAAGAACACCGGUGGCGAAGGCGGCUCACUGGCUCGAUACUGACACUGAGGUGCGAAAGCGUGGGGAGCAAACAGGAUUAGAUACCCCUGUAGUC